AGAUCUGUUAUAAAAAAGAUACUGCAAACGAAAAAAAAAAAAAAAAUUAAUUAAAAAUUAUAUAGAUCUAAUUCAGCAUUUAACCCCUUAGGGUGUAGGGUAUCUAACUGGUAUACCCAUUGCAUUUCAGUUUGACCGAUCUUUUUUAUAGCAUCUCCUCCUCUCCAGUGAUUCUUGACUAUUUUUAUCCCAAUAAAUGUGAGCUGUUUAGGGUCAUUAUUAUGCAUGCAAAAGUGCGAUGGUAUUGAGUGAUUGUGCAGACCUUUUUCAAUGUUCCUGCAAUGUUCUGCAAUUCUGAUUUUUAAUGGCCUGAUUGUUCUACCUACGUAUUGGAAGCCACAUGGACAC
Pelobates cultripes (western spadefoot toad) is the source of this 348-nucleotide non-coding RNA. Lineage: Eukaryota; Metazoa; Chordata; Amphibia; Anura; Pelobatidae. The record is from the annotation of a GenBank genome assembly.